GUCGAACGGUGAAGGAGAGCUUGCUCUCUGGAUCAGUGGCGAACGGGUGAGUAACACGUGAGCAAUCUGCCCCUGACUCUGGGAUAACAGUUGGAAACAGCUGCUAAUACCGGAUACGAGCUUCGAAGGCAUCUUCAGAAGCUGGAAAGAACUUCGGUCAGGGAUGAGCUCGCGGCCUAUCAGCUAGUUGGUGAGGUAAUGGCUCACCAAGGCGUCGACGGGUAGCCGGCCUGAGAGGGUGACCGGCCACACUGGGACUGAGACACGGCCCAGACUCCUACGGGAGGCAGCAGUGGGGAAUAUUGCACAAUGGGCGCAAGCCUGAUGCAGCAACGCCGCGUGAGGGACGACGGCCUUCGGGUUGUAAACCUCUUUUAGCAGGGAAGAAGCGAAAGUGACGGUACCUGCAGAAAAAGCGCCGGCUAACUACGUGCCAGCAGCCGCGGUAAUACGUAGGGCGCAAGCGUUAUCCGGAAUUAUUGGGCGUAAAGAGCUCGUAGGCGGUUUGUCGCGUCUGCUGUGAAAACUGGAGGCUCAACCUCCAGCCUGCAGUGGGUACGGGCAGACUAGAGUGCGGUAGGGGAGAUUGGAAUUCCUGGUGUAGCGGUGGAAUGCGCAGAUAUCAGGAGGAACACCGAUGGCGAAGGCAGAUCUCUGGGCCGUAACUGACGCUGAGGAGCGAAAGGGUGGGGAGCAAACAGGCUUAGAUACCCUGGUAGUCCACCCCGUAAACGUUGGGAACUAGUUGUGGGGUCCAUUCCACGGAUUCCGUGACGCAGCUAACGCAUUAAGUUCCCCGCCUGGGGAGUACGGCCGCAAGGU
This 822-nucleotide ribosomal RNA is filed under the name Microbacterium sp. HCA3-9_Pa. RNAcentral's name for it is "bacterial SSU rRNA". It matches the Rfam family "Bacterial small subunit ribosomal RNA", at positions 61 to 894 of the family's 1533-position model. The record is from RNAcentral. Lineage: Bacteria; Bacillati; Actinomycetota; Actinomycetes; Micrococcales; Microbacteriaceae.